Bombyx mori (domestic silkworm) is the source of this 488-nucleotide long non-coding RNA. RefSeq lists it as uncharacterized. The transcript is spliced from 2 exons. NCBI's taxonomy places the organism in Eukaryota, Metazoa, Arthropoda, Insecta, Lepidoptera, Bombycidae. The record is from RefSeq and is a predicted model, not a curated record.
AAACCAAGUUAACUAUGGAAGUACUAAAUAUGAGUUAAGUUGGUCCCAAAAAUUCGUCAAAUUAAAUUGAAAAUAGUGGUUGAAAAGUGCGUUUUAAAACAGCUUAAAGAACUUUUAAAAAAAGGAAUAUUAUCGUUGUUUUUUCAAUAAGAUCACAGUUUAUAUAAGUUUUUAAUACACCUGGAAAUACCACAACAAACGAAUCUAUUCACGCGUCGAAUCAUGAUUUUGUUAACAUUCAAAACGCACACACAAAUAAAAACAGGCCUCAGAUUUUAAAUGUAACAUUAAUUAAAAAUCCGAGAUAUCCAAUUAUGAGUGAGUGAAUUAAUUGAGUUUAGUUAUUUAGCUUAGAAAGAAUUUCUUUUAUUUUUGUUAUUAUUGGCAGUAAUCAGAUAAAGCUGUUUUUUUAUCUUAUUCACCUGAUAUCUUACUCUUGCUCAAAGAUUAUUUUGAAAAUGUUGAUUAAAUAAAAUUGUAUUAUUGCA